UUGACAAUUGCAACACAAGCUCUCUCUCUCUCUUGCUCGCUCGCCACUAAUCUCAUUGUCGGCUCUCUCUCUCCUCUUCACCCCAAAUCCAACAGCCAUGGGUCACUCUCUCUUCCCCCGAGAGAUCCAGCAGCCGUGGGUCUCUCCUUCUCCAAAUCCAGCAGCUGCCGCUCACUCUCUCUCCCUCCUAAAUUCCAUAGCAGUUGUGGGUCACAGCUGCUGUUAUCUCUUCGCCAACUGUUGGAAAUUUCUUAUUAGAAUGUCUGACCAUGCAGUGAUUAUGUGUCUAACCCAUGAAUGAUUGUAUACCAUGCCUUUUCCUUGUUUUGGUUUUUGUUUUAUUCGAAUGAUAAUUGAUAUAUAGUUGCAUCGUUGUAUAAUAAUUCAGAUGGAAUCUAUAAUUUGGAGCUCAAUUUUAACCGAGUUUAUGCUUAAUGUUAUAUUUGAGUUUUAUGUUUUGUGUUUUCUUAAGCUGGGUGUUUCUUAUUCUAAAGUGAAGAAGAUGUGGCACUAAUUGUUGUGAGAGAUGAAAUCGACGGGGAAGACAGAGCGAGCCGACUAUGAGAAUGGUGAGGAAGAACGGAGUGCGGUUAGAUUGGUGGCUCCGGUGAGAUUUUAUUGACUGCUGCUAAAUAAUCCCUAAAUAAUUUGAAUAAUUAUUGCCCUCUACUCCUCAAUUUUUCCAUCUCUCUACAACAUAUAUUUUGGAACCAUGUAUAUGCAAAACAAUUCAUUAUUCAAAUGGGUUCAAUAUUUCCACUCAACCACCAACCGCGUUGUUCAGGACAUAUCCUUAAUUUAAAUGUUAAUUUUUUGCCAUGCACUCCCAAUUUUUCCAAUUAUCCAAACAAAACGUUAAAUUUCCACCAUCCACUUUUAUUAGCGACAAAUGAUUCCUAUCACUAAUCUAAAAUUCGAAUUACACUAACCUUAAAUUUUGUUAACCCAAUCCCUUCUGAUUCAUUCAAUACUGCCACGACAAACUGCAAGUCGUCGCAAGCCAAUUCAAAAAUCCCACACGGAAGCGCUGCCCCAGCCACAGUUACGCCUUGCCCACUUCAAUUUUCUUGCGUUCGAGAAACCGUUGUCAUCGGUCAAAAUGGCUAGUAAGGGUUUACAGCCCUUAACAGUUAUCUUGAACAAAGAAAUUGGAAGAAACUGGUUUCGAUGGUUGCCCAUUGUAAUUGACUUUUACCCCUUUCAAACCCCAUCCGUUGGAUUAAAUUAAUUAUAAUCUAACGGCUACACUGGAUAAUGACAAAAAAAAAGGGUACCAUGCCCCUCGGGCAUGGUAGCUGGACCCACAACUUAGAUAUUACAAUUAGAUUACAUCAAAUUAAUAACUAUGAAUUUGUGUUAAAAAUUUUAAAUUAAAUAUAAAGUCCAAACUUCCUGUUUAUAUGACAUAAUUUCAUUAGGUAGCUUACACAUACGGCAAGCAACACAAAAAUUGAGUCACCCUUCCUUUAUAAAUUCCUAAAGUGGGGCAGAUUAUUGACUAUAAAGAAAAGUCCUCUAUAUGCUGCAAAGCUAGAUGAGUCGAGUUUGACUUAC
This 1554-nucleotide long non-coding RNA is filed under the name Citrus sinensis (sweet orange). RNAcentral describes it as "long non-coding RNA (CSIN_LNC004866)". The record is from RNAcentral. Lineage: Eukaryota; Viridiplantae; Streptophyta; Magnoliopsida; Sapindales; Rutaceae.